CAGUGCGCAUGUCCAACUGGCAUCGCCCUCAAGUCUGAUGGGAAAACCUGUGACCAUGACACUGGAGAAAUCUACAAGGUUCCUCUGGAAGUACCUGAAACCCCUUGUUAUCCUUUGGGAAUCACCGCAAACAUCUCAAGACCCGU
RNAcentral lists this unclassified non-coding RNA (146 nucleotides) under Orbicella faveolata. RNAcentral's name for it is "low-density lipoprotein receptor-related protein 5- like, transcript variant X3". Lineage: Eukaryota; Metazoa; Cnidaria; Anthozoa; Scleractinia; Merulinidae. The record is from RNAcentral.